Molecule: ribosomal RNA, 119 nt
Filed under: Neogale vison (American mink)
Lineage: Eukaryota; Metazoa; Chordata; Mammalia; Carnivora; Mustelidae
Source: RNAcentral
GUCUACAGCCAUACCACCCUGAACAUGCCUGAUCUUUUCUGAUCUUGGAAGCUAAGCAGGGUCGGACCUGUUUAGUUCUUGGAUGGGAGACUGCCUGGGAAUACCAGGUGCUGUAGGCU